UUUUUUUUUUUUUUUUUUUUUUUGAGACAGAGUCUCCCUCUGUCACCCAGGCUGGAGUGCAGUGGUACAAUCUUAGCUCAUUGCAACCUCUGCCACCAGGGUUCAAGCAAUUCUCUUGCCUCAGCCUCCUGAGUAGCUGGGACUACAGGUGCUGACCACCAUGCCAAGCUAAUUUUUGUAUUUUUAGUACAGACAGGGUUUCACCAUGUUGGCCAGGCUGGUCUCAAACUCCUGAUCUCAAGUGAUCUGCCCACCUUGGCCUCCCAAAGUGCUGGGAUUACAGGUGUGAACAGGUGUGAGCCACUGCGCCCAGCCGAGACCAGUUGCCUCAAUUGUCAGUUUCCUCCUCUCUCCCCUUCUCAGGUCUAUCAUGGCAGAAUUUGUCCCAGAACAUAAAACUACAGAACACCCCAGUUUCGGUGUGAGAAAAGAGCCUAGGCAUCUCCUAAUUUAAUGGGCUUCAAAUGGUUUGGCUCAGUUGUCCUAAGCAAUAAAAAUAAUUUGAGUAUGUAACCUCAAUUGAUGUAUAUUUAUUCAUUUAUAAAUGACAUACUUCUGUACCAACAUACUUUAAGACAUAUACAAAAAUUAUAUUUAAAAAGAAAAAUAAAUAAAAUGAUAAUAUUUUCUCCUGUGCCUUAAUGGAUUAGCUUUGUUCCUUUUGGGAUAUGUGAAUCUGUUUUGGAGACAACUUACCUAAUUCAGCCUGAUCUGCUAAUCUCCUCUGUAACUCCCCACCAAGAGGAAAUUCAACCUUUUCAUGAACACUUGGAGGGACACCCAAUCCAUUUUUGGAAACAUCUAGGCGUUUCUUGAUUACCAUGCUCUGGAUGGCCAAAUCGGGGGGUUUUCAUGCAGUAUCACACCUGGACUUCGAGCCACAAGUGAACACUUCUCUGGGCGCCUCACUUCUGGCUCUCCCUGGAUCUCACUGCAACCUGAGUGCCAGAGCUGUGAAGACUGCAGCAAAGUCCUCCAACUGCCACGAAAGCCUCUCCUAAUUCACCAGUUCCAGAAGGCUGCCUGCUUCCCUGGCCACAGGGGUAGGCUUGGCUGUUACCUUCCCAAAUGGAAAAUGAGGGUGUAGAUUUCAUUGCCCAUUACUGCCCACUUCUCCUGAUCUACCUUUGAUGAUACCAGAGUGGAUUACAUUAUUUGGACUGUAUGCUAUCCUGGGCUAUUCCGAGGACAACACUUGAAACGGGAAAGAAUGAUGUGCCUGGGCCCACCAGAGAUUAUGGGAAACCUUGAUGCUGUUUAUCACCUUGAUUCAAAUUUCAUGUUCACAGCCUGAGUCUACAAAGAAGAGAAACAGAAGAGGGAAGCCUGGUGUAAAACUCUUUCAUUCCAUUCUUGUCUGUCUUUAUCUGCUCCA
Molecule: long non-coding RNA, 1375 nt
Organism: Homo sapiens (human)
Lineage: Eukaryota; Metazoa; Chordata; Mammalia; Primates; Hominidae
Exons: 4
Source: RefSeq, a predicted model, not a curated record